GUAGGGUGCGAGCGUUGCCCGGAUUUAUUGGGCGUAAAGGGCGCGCAGGCGGCUACGCACGUCCGUUGUGAAAUCGCUCGGCUCAACUGGGCGGGGUCAGCGGAUACGGCGUAGCUGGAGCAAGCUAGGGGGCAAUGGAAUUCCCGGUGUAGUGGUGGAAUGCGUAGAUAUCGGGAGGAACACCAGUGGCGAAGGCGGUUGCCUGGAGCUUUGCUGACGCUGAGGCGCGAAAGCGUGGGGAGCGAUCCGGAUUAGAUACCCGGGUAGUCCACGCCGUAAACGAUGCGGACUAGGUGUCGGGGGUAUCGACCCCCUCGGCGCCGCAGCUAACGCAUUAAGUCCGCCGCCUGGGGACUACGGCCGCAAGGCUA
Molecule: ribosomal RNA, 371 nt
Filed under: uncultured bacterium
Lineage: Bacteria
Description: bacterial SSU rRNA
Rfam family: Bacterial small subunit ribosomal RNA
Source: RNAcentral